CCUACGGGCGGCAGCAGUGAGGAAUAUUGGUCAAUGGGCGCGAGCCUGAACCAGCCAAGUCGCGUGAGGGAAGACGGUCCUAUGGAUUGUAAACCUCUUUUGUCGGGGAGCAAAAGACGCCACGCGUGGCGUUCCGAGAGUACCCGAAGAAAAAGCAUCGGCAAACUCCGUGCCAGCAGCCGCGGUAAUACGGAGGAUGCGAGCGUUAUCCGGAUUUAUUGGGUUUAAAGGGUGCGCAGGGGGAAGAUCAAGUCAGGGGGAAAAUUGAGAGGCUAAACCUCAUCGAGCCGUUGAAACUGGUUUGCUUGAGUGAGUGAGAGGUAGGCGGAAUGCGUGGUGUAGCGGUGAAAUGCAUAGAGAUCACGCAGAACUCCGAUUGCGAAGGCAGCAUACCGGCGCUCGACUGACGCUCAGGCACGAAAGUGUGGGGAGCGAACAGGAUUAGAUACCCGAGUAGUC
Molecule: ribosomal RNA, 459 nt
Filed under: uncultured bacterium
Lineage: Bacteria
Description: partial 16S ribosomal RNA
Rfam family: Bacterial small subunit ribosomal RNA
Source: RNAcentral